Molecule: ribosomal RNA, 215 nt
Filed under: Escherichia coli
Lineage: Bacteria; Pseudomonadati; Pseudomonadota; Gammaproteobacteria; Enterobacterales; Enterobacteriaceae
Description: partial 23S ribosomal RNA
Rfam family: Bacterial large subunit ribosomal RNA
Source: RNAcentral
CGAGAUUCCCCCAGUAGCGGCGAGCGAACGGGGAGCAGCCCAGAGCCUGAAUCAGUAUGUGUGUUAGUGGAAGCGUCUGGAAAGGCGCGCGAUACAGGGUGACAGCCCCGUACACAAAAAUGCACAUGCUGUGAGCUCGAUGAGUAGGGCGGGACACGUGGUAUCCUGUCUGAAUAUGGGGGGACCAUCCUCCAAGGCUAAAUACUCCUGACUGA